RNAcentral lists this ribosomal RNA (507 nucleotides) under uncultured bacterium. RNAcentral describes it as "partial 16S ribosomal RNA". It matches the Rfam family "Bacterial small subunit ribosomal RNA", at positions 30 to 523 of the family's 1533-position model. The record is from RNAcentral.
AUUGAACGCUGGCGGCAUGCCUUACACAUGCAAGUCGAACGCAGCGGGGGAGAAGCUUGCUUUUCCUGCCGGCGAGUGGCGAACGGGUGAGUAAUACAUCGGAACGUGCCCUGUAGAGGGGGAUAACUAGUCGAAAGAUUAGCUAAUACCGCAUACGACCUGAGGGUGAAAGUGGGGGACCGCAAGGCCUCAUGCUAUAGGAGCGGCCGAUGUCUGAUUAGCUAGUUGGUGGGGUAAAGGCCUACCAAGGCGACGAUCAGUAGCUGGUCUGAGAGGACGAUCAGCCACACUGGGACUGAGACACGGCCCAGACUCCUACGGGAGGCAGCAGUGGGGAAUUUUGGACAAUAGGCGAAAGCCUGAUCCAGCAAUGCCGCGUGUGUGAAGAAGGCCUUCGGGUUGUAAAGCACUUUUGUCCGGAAAGAAAUGGCUCUGGUUAAUACCUGGGGUCGAUGACGGUACCGGAAGAAUAAGGACCGGCUAACUACGUGCCAGCAGCCGCAGUAA